CCCAGGAGGGGCGGCUGGUCACGCCCAUCGGAACCCCUCUGCAGCCAGCCCACGCCCCGACACGCCCUCUACCGGCUCCUCCCACUCCGCCUACUUCCGGCUAUCCUUCGCGUCUAUCCGCCAUGUUUACUGAGGGCAGUUGCGGCGUGAGGGGGUCUUCAGGUUGAAGGCGUCGUGUUCCUGAGCUAGGUUAACCUGCAGAAAAGAAGCUGUAAGUGACGCCUGGCCUCGACUACACUGCUCCGGCCAGGUGGAGAAGGAAGACCAAUCAGGAUUCUGGUUCUGUUCUUGCCUGUGCCAUGACUCACUAGGUAACCUUAGUUGUUGGGAACUGAACUUGGAGUAACCUAGGAGAAAAGGGCGAUUUAUUGGGAGAACUGAGAAUCUGAGGAAAUUCUGAACAUCCCAGCAUGGGAAGGACCAGAGUGCUGCUGGCCUUCAAGAACAGGAUAGUGGCCCAAGGAGACGGAAUGCAAAAGAGCCCAUCGUCCCUCUGCACCCUCUCUGCUGUGGUCUCUGCAGCAGCUCUCCGGAGCUCGCUUUUUAAGAGCUGUACCAUGUGUCUUGUUUAGCUGCAUCAUAAUUAAUGAAUCCACCUCGAGGGAUGAACGUGGACUGGGAACAGGACAUGCUGUCCACGCAGCUUUAAGUGUUCUAGUGAGGAAGACACCUUGGGGACUGGCAGACAAUUAAGAGUAAAAGAGCCUCAGUCAGCAGUGACCUUGGGCAGAACUGUCUGCCAACCUGGACCUCUCUCCCCAGGACUGUCAGGUGAGAGAAAUAAACAUGUAUCUUCUUUGGGCCACUCUAUUUUGGGGCCUCUAUUAUAACAACUUAGCCAGUACCCUAACAGCUCACUUUUCUUUGUUCCUUUCCUGUCCCACUCAUCAAUCAGAGUUCCUCCCUUAAAGACAUAACCCAAGGAUCAUGGGCUUGGUCACACCUGAGACCUAAAGGGAGGGCUGGAGAAGGGGAAGGUGAUUCGGUUUCUCCUCCCUAGUGUAGAAAGUCCAGAUUUGAGGUUUGGCUUGGGCACCAAGGAAUCCGAUUAUGGCCUCUCUAGACUAUUCAAGGACCAGUUAAGGACUUUCAGGACAAAAGUGAGGUCUGUUGCAGCAAACUCUCCCUCCUGAGAAGUUCCUCCUCACUUCCUCCUCUCUUGCUGUGCAUCACACAGAUGUGAGUGGUUACGGGUUGUGUUGGGAGAGUGAAAAAUGGAGGCGGGGAUAUACUUAGGAAGCUGCUUAUGAGACAGUAAUACAUACUGGCCUCUGCCCUGGGUUUCUGACACAGGGCUCCUGAAACCCUUGUAAUUUCCUGGGUGUUGGGGUAUCUUUUGUUCUAACUGGGCAACUGUGGGUGGGCUCCAGGAUGAGGGCUGGUCACCAGAAAGAAUGAGCCAUGAUUAGAAACCAGGAAUUUUCAGCCUUGUCCCCCAUCCUCUUGAGGAGGGAGAAAGGCUGAAAAUAGAGUUAAUGAUCAAUCAUGCCUGGUAACAGAGCCUCCAUAAAACCUCAACAUGUGGGGUUUGGAGAGCUUCCGGGUUGGCGAACACAUCCACACUGGGAGGGUGACGUACCCCAGCUCCACGAGACACAAGCUUCUGUGCUCAGGAGCCCCUGGCCUCUCCCACUGUAUCCCCUCCUGGCUGUUCAUCUGUAUCCUUUAUCAUAUCCUCUAAUAAACUGGUAAAUGUAAGUAAGUGUUCCCCUGAGUUCUGGGAGCUGCUCUAGCAAAUUAAUUGAACCUGAGGAAGGGGUCAUGGAAACGUCUGGUUUGUGGCCAAGUUGGACAGGAUUGUGGGUAACCAGGGGGCCCACUACUUGUGACUGGCAUCUGAAGUAGGGUGGGGGUGGUCUGUGGGAUAGACUGAGGAGCCUUUAACCUCUGGGGUCUGACACUAUGUCUAGGCAGAUGGUGUUAGAAUGAGUUAAAUUCUAGUACACCCAGAUGGUGUUGAAGAGAACUGCUUGGUUCGGGAACUCCCUCCCCCUCCCCCUUGACACACACACACAUUUGGUGACCAGAAGUGUCAGAAGUGAAGAGUUCUGUGUGAGUGGGAGACAGACAGGAGGUAGAAAACUAAGUUUUCCCAAAUCAGUGCUAUAAUCUGGGGGCUCACAAAUCUCUUAAGAACUUUCUUUCUGAAGAUGCCUUGAAUCAAGGCAUUGCUGUAACCCAAGAGCCUUGGCCAGAUGGACAAUAAACUUCUAUGAGAUUCUGACAAACUGCCUCUGUCUAGUUUAUGUUCCCGUGGUUCUCAACAGCAUAAUGACAGCAGAUGGGACUGCACAGCCAUGAUGUGUGGGUGUCCUAGGGGAGCCGAGGUGGGGAGCGGCAGCUCGGAGUCCCUGCACGGGGCCGGGGGCUCCCGUGGAGGGUGGGGCCCUGGUGACCAGCACUGUGGGAGGUACCUCUGUGAUCUUCAUUCGCAGGCGGUGGUUUUCUGACUGCAGGCCCUCUAGGCGGGAUGUGCUUGCUUGGUUCACACUGGUGACUGAGGUGGAGGUUUUAGAAUCUUCUUUCUUCUGAUUCUGAGUGAACUGAAAUCGUCUGUUCUGAGUUGCUGCGUCUGGGUUUGUUCUCAGAGUGAUGAGCUGAAAGGACAAAAGUAGAGCUGAGAAGAGAACCCUGGGGUCUUUCCUCUCAGGCCCCAUCCAGUCCCUCCCAGCAGGGCCUGCACUGGAGGCAACAUGGGGCCCCAGGAAGGACACAGUCUGAGAGUCUGGAGCCCUGGGCUCAGGCUUGUCUCUGGCCCUUGCUUGUGUGUGACCUCGCGCAGGCCUCUUCCUCUCUCUGAGUCUCGGUUUUCUUCCUUGCCGGUAGAAGUCUGGUCUCCUGACCCUGAUUCCACCCGCAUCCUUGCCAUCCCGCUUAUGCCCUGCUCCAGCUGAGCCUCACUCUGCCUCAGGCCUUGCUCCACGUAGAAAAUAAACCUGAAGGUGACAGCUGUGAAGACAGUGGGAGGAGAGUGAAGGCUUGUGCUUGUUAGAACCAUGGCCGUGGCCCCUGUCCACUAGGACUUCUGGUUCAGAGGGUGGAGAGAACAUGUGAGUGCACGCAGAGAAGUUGUGGGCUUGGCCUGGAGCCUGGGAAAGUGUCGACACCCAAAGGAAGGAGUACAUGCCAGAGGUGUUCUGGGGCACAGCUGAGCCUGACUGGGGACUGACUGCGUGCCCAGGGGAGAGGAAAGAUCACUGGGGUCCCGUGGCUCCUCCAUCCAACAUAACCACUGACCUGAGAGAUAUUUUCCUGACAUUAUCCCACCCAGCAGUGGGCGGGUGAAUUGGAGGCCUUGACCUCUUUAGUAGGCUGAUCUGUGUAGAGAAAACCUAACCUCGGUGGGGCCCAAGAAUAAAGGAAGACGCAGAAGACAGAGUUAAGAAGUUAUUGACUCAAGCUGGGUUUGAUAAUAUCUGGAAGCUAUCACUCAGGUAAGCCCUGCAGAUGAAUGAAAAUGUAAGUGGCUGUUAAAAAUGGUUAUUCCUUUUCACCCACUAGUGCUACUUCUGUGACUCUAGCUUAAGGGAAUGACUGGAAACAAGAAAAGUGUAUUAUGUAGGAGAAAUAAAAGUACACUUAUAAUAUAAGAAAUCUGGAAAUACUGUAAUGCUCACCCAUAAGGGAUCAAGAAGACAAGUAGGUUACAGAACUUCCCCUCAAUGAUGGUUAUGAAUGUGGGAAAAUACAAGGGGCAAAAGCUAAGUGAAAAAGGCAACUACAAAGCAUGCUAUAAUUACAGCUGUGUCUGACUCACAGACGUAGAAUACAAACUUGUGGUUGCCAAGGGGGCGCGGGGUGGGAAGGGACAGACUGGGAUUUUAAAAAGUAGAAAAGAUAAACAAAAUUAUACUGUAUAGCACAGGGAAAUAUAUACAAGAUCUUGUGGCAGCGAAAAAAAAUGUGACAAUGAAUAUAUGUAUGUUCAUGUAUAACUGAAAAAUUGUGCUCUACACUGGAAUUUGACACAACAUUGUAAACUGACUAUAACUCAAUAAAAAAAUGUCAAAAAAAAUUACAGCUAUAUCUGAAAAAAACAUCACUGCCUAAGCACUAAAAAAAAGACUGGAAGGAUACAUCAAAAAUAUUAACAGUAAAAAACCAAACCAAAACAUUAACAGUGGUUAUUUUUGGGUGGGGGGACUAUGUGAGAGUUCUGAAAAAUCUGAUUUUUGCUUUUCUGCAUCUUCUAAACUUUGUGAUGUGAAUUGUGUUCAUCAGUUAAAGAAAAAAGUGCGUAAGACUUUUAGAAAGUGGAGGAAACUCAGCAAUCCCCUUGUGAGGCCGGACAGGAUGGCAGGGUGGUGAGAGUGGGGGCAGAGGACUGCCUGUACCUUGGGC
Molecule: long non-coding RNA, 4341 nt
Organism: Camelus dromedarius (Arabian camel)
Lineage: Eukaryota; Metazoa; Chordata; Mammalia; Artiodactyla; Camelidae
Exons: 6
Source: RefSeq, a predicted model, not a curated record